RNAcentral lists this ribosomal RNA (281 nucleotides) under uncultured bacterium. RNAcentral's name for it is "partial 16S ribosomal RNA". It matches the Rfam family "Bacterial small subunit ribosomal RNA", at positions 30 to 306 of the family's 1533-position model. The record is from RNAcentral.
AUUGAACGCUGGCGGCAGGCCUAACACAUGCAAGUUCGAGCGGUAACAGGGGAAGCUUGCUUCUCGCUGACGAGCGGCGGACGGGUGAGUAAUGUAUGGGGAUCUGCCCGAUAGAGGGGGAUAACCACUGGAAACGGUGGCUAAUACCGCAUAAUCUCUUAGGAGCAAAGCAGGGGAACUUCGGUCCUUGCGCUAUCGGAUGAACCCAUAUGGGAUUAGCUAGUAGGUGGGGUAAUGGCUCACCUAGGCGACGAUCCCUAGCUGGUCUGAGAGGAUGAUCA